GACGAACGCUGGCGGCGUGCUUAACACAUGCCAGUCGAACGGAAAGGCCCUGCUUUUGUGGGGUGCUCGAGUGGCGAACGGGUGAGUAACACGUGAGUAACCUGCCCUUGACUUUGGGAUAACUUCAGGAAACUGGGGCUAAUACCGGAUAGGAGCUCCUGCUGCAUGGUGGGGGUUGGAAAGUUUCGGCGGUUGGGGAUGGACUCGCGGCUUAUCAGCUUGUUGGUGGGGUAGUGGCUUACCAAGGCUUUGACGGGUAGCCGGCCUGAGAGGGUGACCGGCCACAUUGGGACUGAGAUACGGCCCAGACUCCUACGGGAGGCAGCAGUGGGGAAUAUUGCACAAUGGGCGGAAGCCUGAUGCAGCAACGCCGCGUGCGGGAUGACGGCCUUCGGGUUGUAAACCGCUUUCGCCUGUGACGAAGCGUGAGUGACGGUAAUGGGUAAAGAAGCACCGGCUAACUACGUA
Molecule: ribosomal RNA, 468 nt
Filed under: uncultured bacterium
Lineage: Bacteria
Description: partial 16S ribosomal RNA
Rfam family: Bacterial small subunit ribosomal RNA
Source: RNAcentral